CUGGGCAGAAACUGGAGAAAAGUUAACAGAUGCUGGAAAUCCAAAGCAACACACACAAACUGCCGGAGCAACUCAGCAGGCCAGGCAGCAUCCAUGGAAGAGUAUACCUGCUGAAGGGUCUCGGCCCGAAACGUCGACUAGAGUCUUGUCCGUAGACGCUGCCUGGCCUGGCAUUUUGUGCAGAGAAACGGGCUCACUCUCUCACUAACAAAGGAGAGACAGAUAUGGCUUCCACAGCGAGAGGAGGGACUAACAGUCGCUGCUUUGAUGUUACAGUCAAUCCAUUCCAAUUGCUGGAGGUGCAAGUUCAUAUGAUCACCUGGGAGGUAAUGAAACACACUUUGGAAUUGGAAUCUGAGGACAAUGCACAAUUAAUGAUGAAGAUGAAUUUCUCUGAUUUCUGCUGCACUUUGCCUCCUUGCUUCCCUCUGCUCUCAAUUGCAGUUCUUCACAGUCACACCUUUUUAUAUUAAAGGUUAUAUUCAUGCUUUUAAUGUGAAAGUAAGCAAUCACGGGAAAAUUUAAUUGGAUUCAAUUAACAUGGCUAUUCACAAUGGUCGCAUGGCAGGGUGGAGAUACGUCUCUACCAAAGGAAAUGUAAGGAAUUUCUCCUUUUUGCUAGCCUGCAGGUCACCCUUGGGUAAGGUAUAGCAUCUGCUCAGCACCUCCCUCCCGGAUUAGAGUCUUAUAAGCAGUUAGAGUAAGUGGUGGAUGGUCAUAUGAGCAGUUGGGGCAUAUCACAAGCCCUGGUUUUGUGACCACUGAUGCCAGGCAGACAAUCUCUGAAUGGUAAUGAUAAUGGCUGGGGUCACCUGCCUUGUAAAGACACUGCCCAGAAGAAGGCAACGGCAAACCACCUUGGUAGAAAUAUUGGCCAAGAGCAAUUGUGGUCAAAAGACUGUGAUCUCCCAUGUCAUUUGACACGGCACAUGAUGAUUCAUAGUGGUAUAUAUGCAAACCCUCCGCAAAACAAUUUAUUGGGACAAGGCACUGCUCUCAUCUCUUUACAGUCAUCACUGUGUGGCUCAGUACGGCUCAAACACUAUCUCCGGAUUCACUGAUGAACUGUGAUAGUGUGAAAAGACGGCAUGGUCCAGGAGGCAGGGACCUUUGAUGAUAAAUAUUACUCAGCAUUACUAUCAAUGCAUGCUUGAAAAGUUACUACAAAUAGUUUCACUAACUUUAUAGUUAGAAAUGGGCAAAAUAGGUAAUAGAAACUCUACACGAAGCCAAAUCCAUCCAGAAACGAACGAUAAACAAUGCAAAUUCAUCAAUAUAUUCAAAAAGCACCUAAAUACUAGAAUUUCAUGAAAACACAAUCAGGAAAAUGCUAGAGCAAAAAGCUGGAAUUCAGAUCUUAUGGUAGCGUAGUGAUUAGCACAACACUUUACAGUGCAGGCAAUUAGGGUCAAUUCCUGCUGCUGCCUAAUGGGAGUUUGUAGGUUGUCCCCGUGAGCAUGUGUGUUUCUUUUCAAUGCUCCAGUUUCCUCCCACAGUCCAAAGAUAUACUAGUGGUAGGUUAAUUAGUGAUUAUAAAAUUGUCUCAUGAUUAAGCUAGAGUUAAAUCAAGGGAUUGCUGGGCUGCGCAGUUUGAAGGGCGCAGUAUCUCAAUAAAUAAAUAAACAAACUUUCUCUUGAGUGUUGCUCAAGAUUUCCAGCAUCUGCAGAACCACUUGUGUCUCUGGCUACUUUGAGGAGUUCUUCCUUUAAUCUUUAACACUAAAGGUCCUAAUUUAACCCUCCCUGUUUCACACUAUCUAUCCAAGCAUUUUAGGUGAAAAUUAUAGUUACAUGCUUACUGCUAAUGAGGACUUAUCUAUCACCACUUCAAUCUUGCCCUUUUGAGAGAUGGUAAAUGCACCAAUUCCAGAUGGGUAGGUUUCUAGACAUAAUUGAAUAGGGCCAUAUUCAAAGAUUUAGACUCCAAUGCAAAUGAUACCAGUAACAAUGCUGCCUGAAAAACAGCAAACAGAUCCUGUUCCAUAAAAGUCAGCAAAUAUUAAUUUUUUUUGUCAUUUUUGGGAGCUGUCCAUCUUCAAGGAUCAACGUCACUCACCAUUUACAAGUAUCAGGAAUUUGCUGUAGUGUGUUGGUCAGGGCACAACAUGCAACAAAAAACAGCAUUCAACAACUAUAAAGAAUUAUAUAAAGUACUGGAAAGUUGAGGUUGGAGUAUGGAUAUGGAAUGAGAUGUCCUUUAGUACGUAAAUACCAGCAUGGAAACAGUAUUAUAAAAAUUGAUUUAAAGUGUUUACAGCACAGUGCAGUGACGGGGGCAAUAGAUAGAGGGAGGUGGGGGCUAACUGGAGUGACUGAUCAGAAUAACUGAUUGGGGGAAGAAACUUCUAAGAUGGCAUGAAGUUUAUACCUUAAUAGCCCCAUAGUGUUUUACCAAAGGAAGCUUUUAUAAAAGCUUUUAUUUUGCAGGAGGGUAGGUCCUGCAAUGAUUUCUCCUGCCUCCUUCUUGGUCCUGGACACAUACAAUUCCUGCAGCGAGGGCAGACUACAGCCAAUGACCUUCUCUGCUGACCUGAAAUAAAGCUCUAGUUUCAAUGACUGGACCAGUCAAAUGUCUCUUCUUUAUUUCUCCCAUCACCGAUGGAAAGCCCACAGAGUUGAAGUAAAUCAUAGGCACAAGAAAUUCUGCAGAUGUUGGAAAUACAAAGCAACACACGUUAAAUACUAGAGGAACUCAGCAGGUCGGGCAGCACUUACAUUGCUCUUUGAAGUAAAUGUACAAGACAUAGUAGAAAACACUGGAGAACUGUGCUCUUUGAGUUCUGUAACUGAGAGCCAACAAUAAAUAAUCUUUAUACAGCUAUGGUGGAUGUUAUCUAACAGGACAGGAUUUGAAGUCACACCCUUGAUGCGAUCUUUAUUGUUUCAAAAUUGAUCUGCUGGAACAUUGCCUUCUCAAAUGAUUGCAUCCUCUGAGUGAUGUAAUAGCCUGCAUGGAAGAAGUGUCAGUAGAAAUUAUGAAUGAAUUGGUUCAAGUUUUAUUAAAAGUACUGAUACCCUUUUUUUUUACAACUUUGCUUCAUUAUCAUUUUAGAAGAUUUUGUAUCUUCUACAAACAUAAAGCAAGGCAGUAUUCAGAUCCACUCAGUGCAGGCAUUUUUCUUUCUGUAUUUCUAAGUAAUUUUUCUCUGCAAAUACUACAUGAUGAUGUAUUUUGCUUCUUAGACAUUAAGUUCUUGCUACUUUUCAAAAUAACUUUUUCUCCCUCUUUGUAAUUAAAUCA
This is a long non-coding RNA of Hypanus sabinus (Atlantic stingray), 3241 nucleotides long. RefSeq lists it as uncharacterized. NCBI's taxonomy places the organism in Eukaryota, Metazoa, Chordata, Chondrichthyes, Myliobatiformes, Dasyatidae. The record is from RefSeq and is a predicted model, not a curated record. The transcript has 3 exons.